This 468-nucleotide ribosomal RNA is filed under the name uncultured bacterium. RNAcentral describes it as "partial 16S ribosomal RNA". It matches the Rfam family "Bacterial small subunit ribosomal RNA", at positions 28 to 507 of the family's 1533-position model. The record is from RNAcentral.
GACGAACGCUGGCGGCGUGCUUAACACAUGCAAGUCGAACGGAAAGGCCCUGCUUUUGUGGGGUGCUCGAGUGGCGAACGGGUGAGUAACACGUGAGUAACCUGCCCUUGACUUUGGGAUAACUUCAGGAAACUGGGGCUAAUACCGGAUAGGAGCUCCUGCUGCAUGGUGGGGGUUGGAAAGUUUCGGCGGUUGGGGAUGGACUCGCGGCUUAUCAGCUUGUUGGUGGGGUAGUGGCUUACCAAGGCUUUGACGGGUAGCCGGCCUGAGAGGGUGACCGGCCACAUUGGGGCUGAGAUACGGCCCAGACUCCUACGGGAGGCAGCAGUGGGGAAUAUUGCACAAUGGGCGGAAGCCUGAUGCAGCACCGCCGCGUGCGGGAUGACGGCCUUCGGGUUGUAAACCGCUUUCGCCUGUGACGAAGCGUGAGUGACGGUCAUGGGUAAAGAAGCACCGGCUAACUACGUG